This 334-nucleotide ribosomal RNA is filed under the name Aurantiochytrium limacinum. RNAcentral describes it as "partial Bacterial small subunit ribosomal RNA". It matches the Rfam family "Bacterial small subunit ribosomal RNA", at positions 1 to 340 of the family's 1533-position model. The record is from RNAcentral. Lineage: Eukaryota; Bigyra; Thraustochytrida; Thraustochytriidae.
UUGAAGAGUUUGAUCAUGGCUCAGAUUGAACGCUGGCGGCAGGCUUAACACAUGCAAGUCGAGCGGGGAAGGGUAGCUUGCUACCUAACCUAGCGGCGGACGGGUGAGUAAUGCUUAGGAAUCUGCCUAUUAGUGGGGGACAACAUUCCGAAAGGAAUGCUAAUACCGCAUACGCCCUACGGGGGAAAGCAGGGGAUCUUCGGACCUUGCGCUAAUAGAUGAGCCUAAGUCAGAUUAGCUAGUUGGUGGGGUAAAGGCCUACCAAGGCGACGAUCUGUAGCGGGUCUGAGAGGAUGAUCCGCCACACUGGGACUGAGACACGGCCCAGACUCCU